ACCUCCUCUGUGACGGCAGCAGCGGGCAGGUCGCAGACGCCAGGGCUGAGUCGACCGCGCCGCCCGGGGCUCACGCAGGGUCGGACCCGGCCGGCGGCGGCGGCGGCGGCUGCGCGCGGCAGCUGAGGGAGGCCCGAGGGCUUUGGCUGCGGCGACUGCGGCUUCCCAGGGGGGGCGGCCCCAGGAAAGGAUGCGGCGGAGCCCCCGCCCAGACUCGGCCGCCUCCUCUCACAAGCAAGCGCCCGACUUCUCCAGCGACAACAGCAGUAGUUCCCACAGCGUGACUUCGGGGGACAGCAAUGGGCCCCGGUCCGCGGAGCUCGAGCAGCCCGAGGGCAGAAGGACCCGGGGCUCGAGCUGUGCCGAGCCCUCCUUAAGCCCGGAAGUGUCCGGAGGAGCCCCAUGGGCAGGAAGCUCUUGGCCGAAGCCGGCGCCUCGGAGCCACAAUGGGCAGACCGCCUGUGGCUCGGCAACCGUGAGGGGCGGGGCCUCGGAACCGGCUGGAUCUCCGGCAGGCUUGGAGGAGCAGCUCAGCUUUCUCCCCGCCCUGGAUCUGAGGCAGGAGAUGCCUACCCCGCGGGUGUCGAAGAGCUUCCUGAGUACGAGCCGGGCCAGCCCCAUCCCUUCUGACCUGGCACUCGGAACCCCAGUUCUCCUGCCCGAACCCGGGUCCAAGAAUCCAGCCCGAUCCCCUCUGACCUGGCACUCGGAACCCCAGUUCUCCUGCCCGAACCCAGUUCUCCUGCCCGAACCCGGGUCCAAGAAUCCAGCCCCAUCCCUUCUGACCUGGCACUCGGAACCCCAGUUCUCCUGCCCGAACCCAGUUCUCCUGCCCGAGCCCGAAUCCGAGAAUCCAGCCCGAUCCCUUCUGACCUGGCACUCGGAACCCCAGUUCUCCUGCCCGAACCCAGUUCUCCUGCCCGAUUCCGAAUCCGAGAAUCCAGCCCGAUCCCUUCUGACCUGGCACUCGGAACUUCAGUUCUCCUGCCCGAACCCCUCUGACCUGGCACUCGGAACCCCAGUUCUGCCCGAGCCCGGAUCCGAGUGUCCAGCCUCAUCUCGUUUUUCCAGCCCAUUCUUGUCUCCUGAGACCCAGGACCUUGCCCGCCCCCCGGCCCCGUCCCUCCCAAGCCUUUGUGAACCUGCACCACUUGACCCCUCAUGGUUCGCCCUCUCUGUCCCGGCCCCCAGGUUUCCUCUUUCAGGUGCUGAGCGUGUUGUUAUCAGUGACUGGAGACGUGCUGGUCAGUGUGUACAGGGAGGUCUGUUCCAUCCGCUUCCUGUUCACUGCUGCGUCGCUUCUGAGUGUCUUUCUGGCAGCACUCUGGUGGGGUCUCCUGUACCUGGUCCCCCCUUUGGAGAAUGAACCUAAGGAGAUGCUGACUCUGAGCCAGUACCACCAGCGCGUGCACUCUCAGGGCCAGCAGCUGCAGCAGCUCCAGGCAGAACUGAAUAAACUCCACAAGGAGGUGUCCAGCGUUCGUGCAGCCCACAGUGAGAGAGUGGCCAAGCUCGUGUUCCAGAGGCUGAAUGAGGACUUCGUUCGGAAACCUGACUAUGCACUGAGCUCUGUGGGAGCCUCCAUCGACCUGGAGAAGACGUCCAGUGAC
Peromyscus leucopus (white-footed mouse) is the source of this 1610-nucleotide RNA transcript. It is a transcript of the gene named sperm associated antigen 4, with no coding region annotated. The transcript is spliced from 9 exons. Lineage: Eukaryota; Metazoa; Chordata; Mammalia; Rodentia; Cricetidae. The record is from RefSeq and is a predicted model, not a curated record.